RNAcentral lists this ribosomal RNA (565 nucleotides) under uncultured bacterium. RNAcentral's name for it is "bacterial SSU rRNA". It matches the Rfam family "Bacterial small subunit ribosomal RNA", at positions 35 to 579 of the family's 1533-position model. The record is from RNAcentral.
GCUGGCGGCGUGCCUAAUACAUGCAAGUCGAGCGGAGUUCAUCGGGAGCUUGCUCCUGAUGAACUUAGCGGCGGACGGGUGAGUAACACGUAGGCAACCUGCCCGUAAGACUGGGAUAACUACCGGAAACGGUAGCUAAUACCGGAUACGCAAGUCUCUCGCAUGAGGGGCUUGGGAAAGGCGGAGCAAUCUGUCACUUACGGAUGGGCCUGCGGCGCAUUAGCUAGUUGGUGGGGUAACGGCUCACCAAGGCGACGAUGCGUAGCCGACCUGAGAGGGUGAACGGCCACACUGGGACUGAGACACGGCCCAGACUCCUACGGGAGGCAGCAGUAGGGAAUCUUCCGCAAUGGACGAAAGUCUGACGGAGCAACGCCGCGUGAGUGAUGAAGGUUUUCGGAUCGUAAAGCUCUGUUGCCAGGGAAGAACGUCCGUUAGAGUAACUGCUAACGGAGUGACGGUACCUGAGAAGAAAGCCCCGGCUAACUACGUGCCAGCAGCCGCGGUAAUACGUAGGGGGCGAGCGUUGUCCGGAAUUAUUGGGCGUAAAGCGCGCGCAGGCGGC